RNAcentral lists this ribosomal RNA (197 nucleotides) under uncultured bacterium. Its description in RNAcentral is "partial 16S ribosomal RNA". It matches the Rfam family "Bacterial small subunit ribosomal RNA", at positions 328 to 539 of the family's 1533-position model. The record is from RNAcentral.
ACGCUCGACACCUACGUGAGGCAGCAGUGGGGAAUAUUGCACAAUGGGGGAAACCCUGAUGCAGCGACGCCGCGUGGAGGAAGAAGGUCUUCGGAUUGUAAACUCCUGUUGUUGGGGAAAAAGAGGAUGGUACCCAACAAGGAAGUGACGGCUAACUACGUGCCAGCAGCCGGGUAAUCUGAGCGGGCUGGCAAGGC